CUCUGUUCUAUAGCCAGUUCUUCUUCCUUUGUUGGAUCAAAAAAGUGACUUGUCAGAGUGCUGGUUCCUUACCUCAGCUAUAGACCCUACUGGUCUGACUUGCAAGCUCUCUUCCAAGCUACACCACCAGUCCCUAGCAGAAGGGGAGUGUUGGAGCCAAACUUGCUUUACCCCUUACAGACCCAGCCCUCCAAUUAUACUGCAGAGAUGCUUCCUGGGCAGGACAGACUGCAGCACCCACAUGGGUUCUCAUCUCAGUACAUCCUCACCUUGAGAUCCGUACAGACCUGGCAGCCAGUGGCUUGCACUGUCCUUCCACCUGCACAUCUGCCUCUCCAGGCAGGUCACCGUCUGCACUGCUUCACAGAGGCAAGAAAAGCAUGUGCUGGAGGUAUGGCACUCCCUGCAGAAAUGAUGGCACCCUGAUGUGCUGUUCAGUGCAUCAGCUGUGAUUUCACAUCACUCUGAAUCUCUAGGGGUGCAGUGGGUACCUUUAGUCCCCUUGACCCUUAGUCUCUCUCCCCAAAUGUGGGCAGUGACCCAGUGGAUGUGGCAGUGGAGAAAUAGCCCCAGCAGACGAGUGUUGGGGUUGUUGGGCAUCCCUUUGAAGCAGGAACAACCUUACAGGACAUCCCUGGUGUACUCUGGAAAGGGUGAUUAGUGUGUGGAGCCCCGCUACAGCAGCCCAUUGUCACUCACCUGCCCUUUUACCACUGAACUGCCUUUAGUCAUGGGCUGUGCUGUGCAGGUAGGGGGGAAAAAAAAAGAGAAAGAAAACCAAGGGAGGGGAAAAAAUAAAUCAAAGAACAGUGUGUUUCGUGUUGUUUGA
This 829-nucleotide long non-coding RNA is filed under the name Cyanistes caeruleus (blue tit). RNAcentral's name for it is "lncRNA (ENSCCEG00000021953.1)". The record is from RNAcentral. Lineage: Eukaryota; Metazoa; Chordata; Aves; Passeriformes; Paridae.